AAUCAACGCUGGCGGCGUGCCUCAGACAUGCAAGUCGAACGCGAAAUUUCCCUUCGGGGAGAAGUAGAGUGGCGCACGGGUGAGUAACACGUAGGUAAUUUGCCUUUGGGUGGGGAAUAACUCAGGGAAACUUGAGCUAAUACCGCAUAAUGCAGCGGCUCGACAUCGAGACAGUUGUUAAAGCGGGGGAUUGGAGCAAUCCGACCUCGCGCCUAAAGAGAAGCCUGCGGCAGAUUAGCUAGUUGGUAAGGUAAUGGCUUACCAAGGCGACGAUCUGUAACCGGCCUGAGAGGGCGGUCGGUCACACUGACACUGACAUACGGGUCAGACUCCUACGGGAGGCAGCAGUCGGGAAUUUUGGCAAUGGGCGCAAGCCUGACCCAGCAAC
RNAcentral lists this ribosomal RNA (388 nucleotides) under uncultured bacterium. RNAcentral describes it as "bacterial SSU rRNA". It matches the Rfam family "Bacterial small subunit ribosomal RNA", at positions 32 to 395 of the family's 1533-position model. The record is from RNAcentral.